AAAAUUGCAACAGGCAGUCCAUUCACUUAUAAGUUCUCAUGUUGUCAUCAAUACAAAAGUACGAAAACCAUUUAGUAUAUAAAACUAUAGCAACAUCUUCUACACCCAAGUGGAAUUUACCUUUAAUGUGAAGAAAGUUAUUUAGAAUCUACACCGAUUUUAACAUUUGUGUUUGAUAAUAUGGUUUCAAGAGUUAUCUUAAAAAAGGGUAAAUCAAAAUGUUAAAAUCUUUAAUCUAUAAAGAUUAAGAAGUAGUAGCUCCACAAACUACUCCCCGAAUUAAUGGAGAGGCUAAGUAAACAGGAUUUGUAAGUUGAACACUGAAGUUUCAAAUAUCCUCUAAAAAAACAAAAUCAGAAGCAAUGUUACCACCCGGCUUUGUAAAUUUUAACUUUAAGCAGAAAAAAGAAAAAAAAAAAAAACCUUUGUACUUGAUAAAAGGACUUGAUUUUAAAUAGUAACAUGCUUCACUUCAACUUCUUGUAGCUCUUAUUAGUUCUUGAUUUCAGCCACUUUAAUGAAUAAUGAUCCUUAUGGUCCAAAUUUCACUACUAUAAGAAAUUAAGAAUUAGAAAAUGCCCCUGUCACCUCCUACACCACCAAAAUGGUAUAUCAAUAACAAAAAUAGUCAUGUUCAAAUCGGAACCCAUAUAAUAUAUAGGGGGAAAUAAUAAAAUAACAUUAAUCAAAUGGUUCAAUUUUUUCAAUAUUAUUCUCCAUUCUGUUGUUUAGAUCAAGAUAUUAGUUUUUAACAUGUUGGGUUUUUCCAUAUUAACAUUGUCAUCAUAUCCAUUACUGUGGAUCUGGUCAAGCUUUACCCCCUCAUAAACGUAUUUGCCACUUCAUCGAAUUUUUGCAAGAAAAAGAAAGAAAUAACGAUUUAAUCUCCAAGUUUUAUUAAAAAACCUAAACAGUUGGACCAAACCUCCUGUCUGUCUGACAUCAAGAUAAAUCAUCAGUAAAUCAAGAAACAAAUAUAUGGUUUAGUGCUUGUUUCCCUACAAAACCAGGUAUAUUAUUAAACAUGUGAAAGUCAUAAAAAAAGUCAAGGGAGAAACCUGAUCAAAGUUGAAAGUUCAAAACUGGAUAUCCAAAUCUGAACUGCAAAGGUUUAUAAUGGAGAAGAGCAUAUAAACCUGGUCACAAUGAGCUGAUAUCAAGAAACAUCUUUGUGAAAUGUCUAAAAAAAUUAACAUACACGCUUUUAACCAUUUGGAUUUCACAUAUAUCUGGGUUUUUCCUUUCCAAGCACCAAUCAACUGAAACAUGAGCUAAUAUAAGUUAUUUUUACCUCAAAUAACGAGAGGCAUACCGUCAUGGUGGUGGCUGUCCGGUGGUGGUGAGUUGUUUGAGGUGGCGGAGAAGUCGAUGGAGGUGGUAAGGAAGGGUAGUGUCAAGUGGCAGCAGUUCUGGGGACUGGGGUUAGGGUUUUGUAGGUGCGAUGGAGGGAGCGGAGGUUGUUUGAAUAGUAUGAGUUGGCGUCGACCGGCGAUGGUGGCAACGAGGAUGGUGGUGACGGUGGGUUGAAGGCUGGUGGUGGAUGGUUACCGGAUUUGGAGAGAGAUAAAGAGAGGUGUUUAAUUUGAUUGAAACAAACAAACGUUGUGAGUUACUUUUCAAAUAUCAACCCAAUCCAUAGAGUAUUAUUUCAAACCCAUAUGGCCAUGCCAGGUGAUCGCCGUUCUGUUUGAAAUCAUGAAACCGGUCAUCGGUUUUGGUUUUUCGAUUUAUAUUUUUUUUACAGUUUGGUUUGUGGUUUUGAAAAUUUUAAAC
RNAcentral lists this long non-coding RNA (1773 nucleotides) under Lactuca sativa (garden lettuce). RNAcentral describes it as "long non-coding RNA (LSAT_LNC004855)". Lineage: Eukaryota; Viridiplantae; Streptophyta; Magnoliopsida; Asterales; Asteraceae. The record is from RNAcentral.